CCUACGGGUGGCUGCAGUGGGGAAUAUUGCACAAUGGGGGGAACCCUGAUGCAGCGACGCCGCGCGAGUGAAGACGUAUUUCGGGAUGUAAAGCUCUAUCAGCAGGGGAGAAAAUGACGGUACCUGACUAAGAAGCCCCGGCUAACUAAGUGCCAGCAGCCGCGGUAAUACGUAGGGGGCAAGCGUUAUCCGGCUUUACUGGGUGUAAAGGGAGCGUAGACGGCAGAGCAGGUCUGAAGUGAAAGCCCGCGGCCCAACGGCGGGACUGCGUUGGAAACUGCCCGGCUAGAGUGCUUGAGAGGUAAGCGGAAUGCCUAGUGUAGCGGUGAAAUGCGUAGAUAUUAGGAGGAACACCAGUGGCGAAGGCGGCUUACCGGACAGCAACUGACGCUGAGGCUCGAAAGCGUGGGGAGCAAACAGGAUUAGAUACCCCUGUAGUC
RNAcentral lists this ribosomal RNA (440 nucleotides) under uncultured bacterium. RNAcentral describes it as "partial 16S ribosomal RNA". It matches the Rfam family "Bacterial small subunit ribosomal RNA", at positions 338 to 795 of the family's 1533-position model. The record is from RNAcentral.